UGAGUGGGUUGGACGGUCGCCGGGUUGAGAGACAUCCGGAGGAAAGUCCGAGCAGGGCAGGGCGCGGUGGCGGCUAACGGCCGCCCGGGGUGACCCGCGGGAAAGUGCCGCAGAAAACACACCGCCGAUGGCCCUUCGGGGCACAGGUAAGGUUGAAAUGGUGCGGUAAGAGCGCACCGCGUCGCUGGUAACAGCGGCGGCAGGGCAAACCCCACCGCCUGCAAGACCAAGUAUGCUGUGUGUUCGGCCCGAACGCUAUCACAGCGGGUAGGUUGCGUGCCGAAUGGGAGACCGUUCGGCAGAGCCGGUCGGCGACGGCCGGUCAAAGUUUAAUGACCGUCAUCCCGUUUACGGGGGACAGAACUCGGCUUACAGACCCACUCUUUUU
Molecule: RNase P RNA, 388 nt
Filed under: Planctomycetales bacterium 4572_13
Lineage: Bacteria; Pseudomonadati; Planctomycetota; Planctomycetia; Planctomycetales
Description: RNase P RNA component class A
Rfam family: Bacterial RNase P class A
About the family: Ribonuclease P (RNase P) is a ubiquitous endoribonuclease, found in archaea, bacteria and eukarya as well as chloroplasts and mitochondria.
Source: RNAcentral